AGUGGCUGUCCAGGGGAAUAUUUGUUUUGAAAACAAAUUUUAUGUGUUCAAUUCACUUAGUCACUU
This 66-nucleotide transfer RNA is filed under the name Pomacea canaliculata. Its description in RNAcentral is "tRNA-Ser". It matches the Rfam family "tRNA". Rfam says of the family: Transfer RNA (tRNA) molecules are approximately 80 nucleotides in length. Lineage: Eukaryota; Metazoa; Mollusca; Gastropoda; Architaenioglossa; Ampullariidae. The record is from RNAcentral.